CGGACGGGUGAGUAACACGUGGAUAACCUACCUAUAAGACAGGGAUAACUUCGGGAAACCGGAGCUAAUACCGGAUAAUAUUUUGAACCGCAUGGUUCAAAGUGAAAGACGGUCUUGCUGUCACUUAUAUAUGGAUCCGCGCUGCAUUAGCUAGUUGGUAAGGUAACGGCUUACCAAGGCAACGAUGCAUAGCCGACCUGAGAGGGUGAUCGGCCACACUGGAACUGAGACACGGUCCAG
Molecule: ribosomal RNA, 240 nt
Filed under: uncultured Staphylococcus sp.
Lineage: Bacteria; Bacillati; Bacillota; Bacilli; Caryophanales; Staphylococcaceae
Description: partial 16S ribosomal RNA
Rfam family: Bacterial small subunit ribosomal RNA
Source: RNAcentral